This 414-nucleotide ribosomal RNA is filed under the name Panesthia matthewsi. Its description in RNAcentral is "partial 12S ribosomal RNA". It matches the Rfam family "Microsporidia small subunit ribosomal RNA", at positions 752 to 1270 of the family's 1311-position model. Lineage: Eukaryota; Metazoa; Arthropoda; Insecta; Blattodea; Blaberidae. The record is from RNAcentral.
UAGAUACCCUAUUAUUUUAGAUUUAAAAUUUUUAACUUGAGUAGUAUUAGGUAUGGUCUUGAAACUUAAAGAAUUUGGCGGUAUUUUAGUCUAGUUAGAGGAAUCUGUUUCAUUAUCGAUAAUCCACGAUGAACCUUACUUAAUUUAAUUUAAUAUGUAUACCGCCGUUUAUUUGAAGAUCUUUUUAGGGUUAAUUUUCCUAAAAUUGUAGUUAAUUUUAUUUCAGGUCAAGGUGCAGUAGAUAAUUAAGUGAUAAUGGAUUACACUAUUUAUAAGAUAUACGGAUUAAUAUUUUAAAAUAUUUUAUGAAGGGGGAUUUAAUAGUAAUUAAUAACAAGAAUUGUUUUUAUGAUUAUAGCUCUAGGAUGUGCACACAUCGCCCGUCACUCUCGUUAUAUUAAGAUGAGAUAAGUC